RNAcentral lists this unclassified non-coding RNA (265 nucleotides) under Hevea brasiliensis (rubber tree). The record is from RNAcentral. Lineage: Eukaryota; Viridiplantae; Streptophyta; Magnoliopsida; Malpighiales; Euphorbiaceae.
AACUCCCGCCUCCGAGCCACUUGAAACAGCGUGGACCCCACGCCCGCACGCGCCGAAUUCCUUGCCGCCGCGUGUCCACUGCGCGCGCGUGCCUCGCGCAAUCUCCCGCGCUUGCCCGCGCAUGGUGCCAAUGCCGUGGGCCGUCGUCUUGUCUUGGGCCUGCUCGGCCUGGCCUCCCUGCCUGCUGAUCCAUCCAUCAUCUUGAGCCACGAGGAAGGGCUGGAUUGGCUUGGCCUCCCUGCCAACCAAUCACAGCUCACAUGCA